AAUGCCGGUAUUCUUUGUCAGAUGCUUCUAGGAAGCAAUCAUUUAUUCAAACCAACACCCAGAGAAGAGUGAAGUGUUUUGAGAGGGAUGUUCACUGGUCAUGCUUUGGUGUCACAUUGCGUGACUCCGGCUUGGGGAGGGUAAUGAUGAACUUCUUAAGUGGGUCCCUUAGGAGGAAUGAAGAUACUCUAUAAUGAAAGAAUGACUGCAGAUGAGUAAAGUCAGGUAGACUAACAGAAGGGAGGAGAUGAGACUGCUGCACUUACUAUUUCACAGACUUGCACAAGAACCCAGAUGAAUCAGAACUGAAAGCAUACAGAGAAGGUCCAGUUUUUCAACGUGUUCCCAGCAACUUGUACCAAUGCCUCCUGCUGAGUUCAGAAGCAUUAAUCAUUGCACAUGGAGAACAUAGAAGCGUAUCUAAA
This is a long non-coding RNA of Pseudopipra pipra, 425 nucleotides long. RefSeq lists it as uncharacterized. Lineage: Eukaryota; Metazoa; Chordata; Aves; Passeriformes; Pipridae. The record is from RefSeq and is a predicted model, not a curated record. The transcript has 2 exons.